AAGCCAAGGUUUAGAAUUUGCUAUGGAAGUAUCAAUAGAAUAUAUAUUGAAUUUUGUAUGAAUAACUAUUUGUUUAAAUUAUAUAGCUGGGAUAUUUUGCCACUUUUCAGAUGAUUUCAGAAGAGGUUCUAGAAAACUAGGAUUAGUAAUAUGUGUGGGUCUGUGUUUAGAUAUUUAAGGUACAUUUGCUUAGUAUGAUGAGAAUAUAAGUAAAAGGCAUAAUGGGUACUAUAGAAUUAAAAUAGAGGGUGAUAGAUGCCAGUCCCACUUGAGCUUUGUUUUUGCAUUUGAAGAAAGUAUGUAGCACUUUCCUAUGUAUUUUUUAUACAUUGAAAACUGGAUGUGGUAUAACUAUGUUAUAGGAAAGUAGAAAUUGUAUUAUUUUCCAUCUUUGUUUUCUGUUAUCCUACAAAGUUGAUGCUUAAGCAUCAAGCUGAUUUCACUGGUGCAUGAGAGAAAGUGGAUGUGAUCUUGCAAGGAAUCAGAUUUUCUACGUGAAACAGUUUAAAAUGGCAUUCGAUGUUCUGUGCUCAGGUAUGUAGUUAAGUACUGUAGUCCUUUGGGGGCAAAUGUGUAGAUAUUUUUAAACAUUUUGCCAUAAUUGCACAAUUUUUUGCAUUUUUACCUGAUGGCAUUGUUUCUUGUAAUAAAACUUUUUCUGACUGAC
RNAcentral lists this long non-coding RNA (667 nucleotides) under Bos taurus (domestic cattle). RNAcentral describes it as "long non-coding RNA NONBTAT013806". Lineage: Eukaryota; Metazoa; Chordata; Mammalia; Artiodactyla; Bovidae. The record is from RNAcentral.